AACGCAUAUGGCACCUGCUAACUUUUGUUAGAAGGUAUGCCUGUUUGAGAAUCAUAUUAUAUUUAUUUCUCUUUGUGUUCCUUUGAUAUCAUUAAUUCAUUUUGAUGACUAAUCAUUAAGGCAACAAAUUGACACAAUUGGACUUUUAUCAUUAAUCGUCUUGAAUUCUGAAAUAUUAUGACUUGUUGAUAGAUAAAAUAGAGAAUGUAUUCUCAUUCAAUAUAUAUAUUUUGACAUGUCAAACAAUACCCCCAACACAAUGAUCUCAAAUCAGGCAAGGCUACCCGCUGAACUUAA
Molecule: unclassified non-coding RNA, 297 nt
Filed under: uncultured fungus
Lineage: Eukaryota; Fungi
Description: partial contains 5.8S ribosomal RNA, internal transcribed spacer 2, and large subunit ribosomal RNA
Source: RNAcentral